AUUGAACGCUGGCGGCAGGCCUAACACAUGCAAGUCGAGCGGAUGAAGGGAGCUUGCUCCUGGAUUCAGCGGCGGACGGGUGAGUAAUGCCUAGGAAUCUGCCUGGUAGUGGGGGAUAACGUCCGGAAACGGGCGCUAAUACCGCAUACGUCCUGAGGGAGAAAGUGGGGGAUCUUCGGACCUCACGCUAUCAGAUGAGCCUAGGUCGGAUUAGCUAGUUGGUGGGGUAAAGGCCUACCAAGGCGACGAUCCGUAACUGGUCUGAGAGGAUGAUCAGUCACACUGGAACUGAGACGCGGUCCAAACUCCUACGGGAGGCAGCAGUGGCGAAUAUUGGACAGUGGGCGAAAGCCUGGUCCAGCGAUGCCGCGCGUGUUAAGAAGGUCUUCGGAUUGUAAAGCACUUUAAGUUGGUAGAAAGGGCAGUAACUUAAUACCUUGCUGUUUUGACGUUACCAACAGAAUAAGCACCGGCUAACUUCGUG
RNAcentral lists this ribosomal RNA (484 nucleotides) under uncultured bacterium. RNAcentral's name for it is "partial 16S ribosomal RNA". It matches the Rfam family "Bacterial small subunit ribosomal RNA", at positions 30 to 507 of the family's 1533-position model. The record is from RNAcentral.